This 253-nucleotide ribosomal RNA is filed under the name uncultured bacterium. Its description in RNAcentral is "partial 16S ribosomal RNA". It matches the Rfam family "Bacterial small subunit ribosomal RNA", at positions 524 to 776 of the family's 1533-position model. The record is from RNAcentral.
UACGGAGGGCGCAAGCGUUGUCCGGAAUUAUUGGGCGUAAAGAGCUCGUAGGCGGUUUGUCGCGUCGGCUGUGAAAACCCGGGGCUCAACCCCGGGCCUGCAGUCGAUACGGGCAGACUAGAGUGCGGUAGGGGAGACUGGAAUUCCUGGUGUAGCGGUGAAAUGCGCAGAUAUCAGGAGGAACACCGGUGGCGAAGGCGGGUCUCUGGGCCGUAACUGACGCUGAGGAGCGAAAGCGUGGGGAGCGAACAGG